UACAGACGGUCCAAACGUUAUUCGGAAUCACUGGGCUUAAAGAGUUCGUAGGCGGUCAGGAAAGUGGGGUGUGAAAGCCCUCGGCUUAACCGAGGAAUUGCGCUCCAAACUCCCUGACUUGAGGAGGCUAGAGGUAAGCGGAACUGAUGGUGGAGCGGUGAAAUGCGUUGAUAUCAUCAGGAACACCGGAGGCGAAGGCGGCUUACUGGACAAUUGCUGACGCUCAGGCACGAAAGCGUGGGGAGCAAAAGGG
RNAcentral lists this ribosomal RNA (253 nucleotides) under uncultured bacterium. RNAcentral's name for it is "partial 16S ribosomal RNA". It matches the Rfam family "Bacterial small subunit ribosomal RNA", at positions 524 to 776 of the family's 1533-position model. The record is from RNAcentral.